This 637-nucleotide ribosomal RNA is filed under the name uncultured bacterium. RNAcentral describes it as "bacterial SSU rRNA". It matches the Rfam family "Bacterial small subunit ribosomal RNA", at positions 202 to 839 of the family's 1533-position model. The record is from RNAcentral.
GAAAACUCCGGUGGUAAAAGAUGGGCAUGCGUUGUAUUAGCUAGUUGGUGAGGUAACGGCUCACCAAGGCGACGAUACAUAGGGGGACUGAGAGGUUAACCCCCCACAUUGGUACUGAGACACGGACCAAACUCCUACGGGAGGCAGCAGUGAGGAAUAUUGGUCAAUGGACGCAAGUCUGAACCAGCCAUGCCGCGUGCAGGAAGACGGCUCUAUGAGUUGUAAACUGCUUUUGUACGAGGGUAAAUGCAGGUACGUGUAUCUGUUUGAAAGUAUCGUACGAAUAAGGAUCGGCUAACUCCGUGCCAGCAGCCGCGGUAAUACGGAGGAUCCAAGCGUUAUCCGGAUUUAUUGGGUUUAAAGGGUGCGUAGGCGGUUUUAUAAGUUAGAGGUGAAAUCUCGGGGCUCAACUCCGAAAUUGCCUCUAAUACUGUAGGACUAGAGAGUAGUUGCGGUAGGCGGAAUGUAUGGUGUAGCGGUGAAAUGCUUAGAGAUCAUACAGAACACCGAUUGCGAAGGCAGCUUACCAAACUAUAUCUGACGUUGAGGCACGAAAGCGUGGGGAGCAAACAGGAUUAGAUACCCUGGUAGCCCACGCAGUAAACGAUGAUAACUCGUUGUCGGCGAUACACAGUCG